CAUGAUCCACUUCUAAUUCAGCGAGGAGCACCCAGGCUCCCUGCUCAGCCACCCCCGUCCCGAGUUCUUCUUUCUUCUCCAGGUGUCUGUCUCUGUCUCUCUGUCUGUCCCUCCAUCUCUGUCUGUCCCUCCAUCUCUGUCCCUCCAUCUCUGUCUCUCUGUCUGUCCCUCCAUCUCUGUCUCUCUGUCUGUCCCUCCAUCUCUGUCUCUCUGUCUGUCCCUCCAUCUCUGUCUCUCUGUCUGUCCCUCCAUCUUUGUCUCUCUGUCUGUCCCUCCAUCUCUGUCUGUCCCUCCAUCUCUGUCUAUCCCUCCAUCUCUGUCUCUCUGUCUGUCACUCCAUCUCUGUCUCUCCAUCUCUGUCUCUCUGUCUGUCUCUCCAUCUCUGUCUCUCUGUCUGUCUCUCCAUCUCACUGUCUGUCCCUCCAUCUCUGUCUAUCUCUCCAUCUCUGUCUCUCUGUCUGUCGCUCCAUCUCUCUCUCUCUGUCUGUCUCUCCAUCUCUGUCUGUCUCUCCAUCUCUGUCUAUCUCUCCCUCUCUGUCUCUCCCUCUCUGUCUCUCCCUCUCUGUCUCUCUGUCUGUCCCUCCAUCUCUGUCUCUCCAUCUCUGUCUCUCUGUCUGUCUCUCCAUCUCUGUCUCUCUGUCUCUCUCUCCAUCUCUGUCUCUCUGUCGCUCUCUCCAUCUCUGUCUGUCCCUCCAUCUCUGUCUCUCUGUCUAUCCCUCCAUCUCUGUCUCUCUGUCUGUCUCUCCAUCUCUGUCUCUCUGUCUGUCUCUCCAUCUCUGUCUAUCCCUCCAUCUCUGUCUCUCUGUCUAUCCCUCCAUCUCUGUCUGUCCCUCCAUCUCUGUCUCUCUGUGCCUGUCUCUGGCUAAUGUCUGUUGGCGGCAGCCCCAGGAGCCCGUCUCAGAACAGCGAGUGGGGUGUCUGGGCACCCCUCACUCACCACAAGCUUUCCUGAGCCAGGCGGCCAUCAAAGAGCUGCGUGCUGGCGGGUUGGAAGUAAAGGCUCUGCUCCCCCCCCAUGGAAGUCUCCCUGGGGGGCUUUGGCGGUUCAGGCUCGUCAUACCUGCCCCUGGGAAGGCCGAACGUGGCACGUCUGAACUCUGGGGUCCGGCGCCAAUAGGGCGGCUUCUAGGAAUGCAGGGCUGGCGCCGAGGAGGGGAGAGCUCCGCUGGGAUCAGGCCCUUUGGGCCCUGCUCUGCCCCUCCGGUCUGGGUUCGAUGCGGGAAUUCAGUCGCCAAAGGAAACGCUUCCCCUGGGCCCGUCUACACCUGAUCGUGUAGACGCGAAGGGCAGAAGCCCAGGGAAACUGGGGUCAAGAAUCACCGCCUCAUUCCUUCAGACUAAAGAGCAGCGGAGUGUCCGCGGCGAGGGCUCGUCCCAUAGGAUGGGAGCAAAGUCAGGCUUCACACCAGAGGUCUUUGGACCCCAAAUCCAGCCCCUCCUCCAUCACACCACACUGCCAGAUCCCCCCAGAAACCACAUGGCUAUCCAGGCGCGCAUUGUCUCCUCCGUUAGAAUGGAAGCUCCAGGAAGGCGAGGGCUCAGGUUGGUUUUUCUCUGUGUCUCCAGCAUUUCACACGGUAAACACUCCCAAGUUCUUGGCACUCACUGAACACGUAUAUUGUUUUAAAAAGCUACAUGGAGACAGCCAGGUGGACAGUGGAUAGAACUCCAGGCCUGGAGUCAGGAGGUCUUGGGUUCAAAUCUGCCCUCAGACACUUUCUUUGUUGUGUGACCCUGGGUAAGUCACUUAACCCGUUAGGCUUGGGCCUAACACUUCAAGUAGAGAACUCAUUCAUUCUUAUUUCCUAAAAUAAGUUCUAUUCAUGACUUCUGUCUUUACCUCAGAGGGCUUCUGGGGAAAGACCCUCCUCCACUCUGCCGUGAACGUCCCCUCCCUACAAGGAAAAGCAGCUCAUCCGGAACAGCUGUCUGAUGAGGAAGAUGGCCGUAGUGCUCCCCGGCUCCUCUCCCCAGCGAGCCUCCCUGGUCUCCCAUGCCGUACUCUAAAGGCUUCCCGGGGCUCUGCUUCCCACUGUCCUUCCCUUUCCUUCAAAGGAAAAGCCAUGAAGAGGGGACCCAUCCGAGACAUCCCAACCUUGCUUUGAAGGUUGGUUCGCUUAGAAACUCCUGCGGCUGUCCUUCGGCGAGCACCCAGAGCCCAGGGGAAUGCUGGGAAGAGGGCGGCCCUGCAAGGACGUCUCCUCGAGAGUUCCUCCAAAAGCUAGCAAACACUGGCGGAGCAACAAUGAAUAAGUACUCCUAGAGUUUA
RNAcentral lists this long non-coding RNA (2269 nucleotides) under Monodelphis domestica (gray short-tailed opossum). RNAcentral's name for it is "lncRNA (ENSMODG00000046002.1)". Lineage: Eukaryota; Metazoa; Chordata; Mammalia; Didelphimorphia; Didelphidae. The record is from RNAcentral.